Molecule: ribosomal RNA, 591 nt
Filed under: uncultured Trichoderma
Lineage: Eukaryota; Fungi; Ascomycota; Sordariomycetes; Hypocreales; Hypocreaceae
Description: eukaryotic LSU rRNA
Rfam family: 5.8S ribosomal RNA (bases 208-361)
Source: RNAcentral
GGGAUCAUUACCGAGUUUACAACUCCCAAACCCAAUGUGAACGUUACCAAACUGUUGCCUCGGCGGGAUCUCUGCCCCGGGUGCGUCGCAGCCCCGGACCAAGGCGCCCGCCGGAGGACCAACCAAAACUCUUUUGUAUACCCCCUCGCGGGUUUUUAUAUCUGAGCCAUCUCGGCGCCUCUCGUAGGCGUUUCGAAAAUGAAUCAAAACUUUCAACAACGGAUCUCUUGGUUCUGGCAUCGAUGAAGAACGCAGCGAAAUGCGAUAAGUAAUGUGAAUUGCAGAAUUCAGUGAAUCAUCGAAUCUUUGAACGCACAUUGCGCCCGCCAGUAUUCUGGCGGGCAUGCCCGUCCGAGCGUCAUUUCAACCCUCGAACCCCUCCGGGGGGUCGGCGUUGGGGAUCGGCCCUUUACGGGGCCGGCCCCGAAAUACAGUGGCGGUCUCGCCGCAGCCUCUCCUGCGCAGUAGUUUGCACACUCGCAUCGGGAGCGCGGCGCGUCCAUUGCCGUAAAACACCCAACUUUCUGAAAUGUUGACCUCGGAUCAGGUAGGAAUACCCGCUGAACUUAAGCAUAUCAAUAAGCGGAGGAA